This 822-nucleotide ribosomal RNA is filed under the name Triticum aestivum (bread wheat). RNAcentral describes it as "partial small subunit ribosomal RNA". The record is from RNAcentral. Lineage: Eukaryota; Viridiplantae; Streptophyta; Magnoliopsida; Poales; Poaceae.
AUGUUAUUCCGGGAGUGCCUUGACAAUUGCGGCCUCAUAGACUUGGGAUACUUUGGUCCAAAAUUUACAUGGUCUAAUAGACAAGAAGGUGGACACAAUGUCAGAGUGAGAUUGGAUAGGGCUGACGCAAAUGGGGACUUCAUGCAGAUUUUUGACGACUGUACAGUUGAGAACAUUAUCACCACCUCUUCAGACCAUUAUGCAAUUUUGGUGACAAUAGCGAAAAGUGAAGGCAAGGAACUCACCACCCCAGUCCAACAGUCAUUCAAGUUUGAAGCAGCGUGGAUGAGAACUCCUGAUUAUGACCAAAUGAUUGAAGACAACUGGAAGACACACAAAGGACGCUAUCCGUCCCUUCAUAAUACUUGGUCUACUCUGUGUAAAUUAUCUAACAGCCUAAAAAUUUGGAGUAGAGAGUCUUUCGGCUCGGUUAAAAAGGAGAUCAGAAAACUAGAAAAAAGACUAACCGCUAUCCGGAAGAACAAUGCUUUCAACAACAAUCCAUAUGAAGAGAGGGAAAUAGAAAAGAGAUUGUGUGAACUAUUUGAGAGAGAAGAGAUCAUGGCUAGACAGCGGUCAAGGGUAGAAUGGCUCAGAGAGGGCGACCGUAACACUUCAUUUUUCCAUGCCCGAGCUUCUGCAAGGAGAAGAAAUAACAAAAUAAAAGGUCUUCGGAAAGUUGAUGGAUCUAUGUGUGAGGAUCCAGGGGGAAUCAGAGGAAUGGUAUAUGAUUUCUAUUCCACACUCUUUACAUCUGAACCCACUUAUACAAUGGACAAGGUGCUGGAAGCCAUACCAACAAAGGUUAGUGAGGAAAUGAAU